Molecule: non-coding RNA, 64 nt
Filed under: Amphritea atlantica
Lineage: Bacteria; Pseudomonadati; Pseudomonadota; Gammaproteobacteria; Oceanospirillales; Oceanospirillaceae
Also listed under: 1 other name
Source: RNAcentral
AAGCGAAACGCCUCACCGAGGCGUCUAUCCAGCGUAGCGGCUGGGUACUGAUGAGCAGCUAACA